GUUGUGUUUUCCUUUUCAAAAAAUAUAAAAAAACGUCAGAUAGGAAUCAAACCAAAACUCUUAAACAGAAUAAUCAAACAAGGAUUAGCAUAGUCUCUAUAAAAUUCUGUUGGUAGCUUUUAGACGUCUAUAUAAGCCUAUAAGGUGUGCGUAACUUUAACGCCGUUCCCUCCUUAGAAGACUGAAGAACAAUAAUAGAGAGUACUCGGUGGUUUGUUGUGGGUUCGGCGUUAGGGCUUCUUCUCUCUCAGACUCUCUCGUGCGCAACCUCAAUCCAAUCCAGCCAUGUCUUCCAAGCAAGGUGGAAAGGCCAAGCCCUUGAAGCAACCUAAGGCCGACAAGAAAGAGUACGAUGAGAUUGAUAAAGCAAAUAUUCAGAAGAAGAAAGAUGAGGAAAAGG
This is a long non-coding RNA of Macadamia integrifolia, 400 nucleotides long. RefSeq lists it as uncharacterized. Lineage: Eukaryota; Viridiplantae; Streptophyta; Magnoliopsida; Proteales; Proteaceae. The record is from RefSeq and is a predicted model, not a curated record. The transcript has 3 exons.